AUCUCCUCCGUACUCCUAGAUCGCUGUGCUCUUGAGGACGCCAUCAGACAGGGCAGUCUGUUGGUCUGCUCUCACAUGGAACUGAUAAAAUGACCAAAGCACUGAGAUGUGGGGAGUUGCUUUUCCCGAUAGAACCCCUGGAACUGAAAGCCCUGAACUGCAAAGAUGCCCUUUGUCCUGCCACUCACAAGUCUGCUCACGGCACACACAGGGCAAUGUGAUUGUAAGAUAAAUGUUCCAAAGAUAGAACUCGAUGUUUUUUCCCAGGAAUAUAUGCCAACGCCAUGGAAGUCUGCUGGCUCUGUUUCCCAUUGCCCUGGAAAUGGGUGCUCCCACACCUUCUUCUUCUUCUUCUUCUUCUUUUUAUCACUUUCUUGUACAUAAAUGAGAAAAUACAACUUGACACUGGUGGAAAACACAUCCCUUUCGAUGAACCACUAAACAUAUAAAUCGUAUCUCAGAAGUUCUAUGAUAUCCCAAGAAACACAAAUAUCUAUAUUAAUAGUGGGCACAUGACUAUUAGCAUAAGUGUAAUGAUGGAAAAUAAUUCUGCGGCCCUGUAUUUUAAAGGACUGGCAGGAGCAGCAAGGCAUUUCCAAGAACAGGUAGAUAGAAGCUGUCUGCUACUAACCUACAAACGCAUACAAAUACAUUCACCCUGAUUUUAAAUACAAGGGACAAGAGGACAAAGCCAGGCACCCACAAAUGUGUAUUUGCUAUACUGCAAAUUCUCUGAGGUCAACCAAAGAAAUCGUUGAAAGCAUUUAGUUUUUCACCUAACCCCAACCCUGCAGUACUGAUUUGGGUUUUUUUUGGGAAAAAAAAUCUUCUACUGCCACCUGCUGGCAUAUUAUGGUCAAUUAAACUCAAAGAGAACGACCCACUUGGAUUGAAUCAUUAACAUUUGAUUUUUUUAAUUAAUUUUUUUUCAAAAUAUGUAUAUUGAUCAUAUUUCUACAUCUCCUUCUUCCCACCUCCUUACCCUUCAAACUUCAAUACAAGAACAAUCUAUUGAUUCUGUGCAUCUUCCUCCAUUUCUGGAUAUAAUAAAUUGAUGAUACAAUAUUCUAUAUGUUAGUAAAAUUAAUAAACAACCAAACUUGAGCAUA
This is a non-coding RNA of Myodes glareolus (Bank vole), 1109 nucleotides long. Lineage: Eukaryota; Metazoa; Chordata; Mammalia; Rodentia; Cricetidae. The record is from RefSeq and is a predicted model, not a curated record.